AACCGCGAGGUCAAGCAAAUCCCAUAAAGUUGUUCUCAGUUCGGAUUGUAGUCUGCAACUCGACUACAUGAAGCUGGAAUCGCUAGUAAUCGUAGAUCAGCAUGCUACGGUGAAUACGUUCCCGGGUCUUGUACACACCGCCCGUCACACCACGAGAGUUUGUAACACCCGAAGCCGGUGGAGUAACCUUUUAGGAGCUAGUCGUCGAAGGUGGGACAAAUGAUUGGGGUGAAGUCGUAACAAGGUAGCCGUAUCGGAAGGUGCGGCUGGAUCACCUCCUUU
RNAcentral lists this ribosomal RNA (282 nucleotides) under Staphylococcus aureus. RNAcentral describes it as "partial 16S ribosomal RNA". It matches the Rfam family "Bacterial small subunit ribosomal RNA", at positions 1253 to 1533 of the family's 1533-position model. The record is from RNAcentral. Lineage: Bacteria; Bacillati; Bacillota; Bacilli; Caryophanales; Staphylococcaceae.